Callithrix jacchus (white-tufted-ear marmoset) is the source of this 2179-nucleotide long non-coding RNA. NCBI's taxonomy places the organism in Eukaryota, Metazoa, Chordata, Mammalia, Primates, Cebidae. The record is from Ensembl.
CAGGCAGGGACUGGAAUACCAAGAGCAGUGUCAGGGGCAGGGACUGGAGUAGCAAAGAGGUUGGAGGCUGAUAUGGUUUUACUGUGUCCUGGAAUAAAUCUCAUCUCUAACUGUAAUCCCCAUAAUCCCCAUGUGUCUAGGGAGAGAGCCGGUGGGAGGAGAUUGGAUAGUGGCGACAGUUUCUUUCAUGCUGUUUUCAUGAUAGUAAUUGAGUUCUCAUGAGAGCUGAUGUUUUUUUUUUUUUUUUUUUUUUUUUUUUUUUUUUUGUAGAAAGUGAUUUAUCUAGAGAGAGAGAGAGAAACAGAAGGAAAGAAAAAGAAACGGCUAAGUCUCACGGCGAGUGAGAGAAUCCAGAAAGUUGGAAUCCAGAAGAGGUUUUAUAAAGGGCUCUUCCUACUUUGCUCCGCACACUCUUUCCACCUUGUGAAGAAAGAUGUGUUUGCUUCUCCUUCCACCAUGAUUGUAAGUUUCCUGAGUCCUCCCCAGCCAUGCAGAACUGUGAGAUAAUUAAAGCUUUUUCCUUCAUAAAUUACUCAAUCUUGGGUAUUUCUUCAGAGAAGUGUGAAAAUAGACUAAUACAGAAGCCAAGACACCAUUUAGGAAAUGAUUCCAAAACUUAGAAGACAGCAGCAAUGGGAUUGGAGAAAAGGUCAAACUCAAAAGAUUUUUUUCAUGGCAUACAAUUGUCAGAUCUUGAUGGAGUCUCACUCUGUCACCCAGGCUGGAAGUACAGUCGCACAAUCUUGGCUCACUGCAACCUCUGCCUCCCGGGUUCAAGCAAUUCUCUGCCUCAGUCUCCUGAGUAGUUGAGAUUACAGGUACCCACCACCACACCUGAGUAAUUUUUGUAUUUUUAGUAAAGACAGGCUGGUCUUGCACUCCUGAUGUUGUGAUCCACCCACCUCAGCCUCCCAAAGUGCUGGGAUUACAGGCAAGAGCCACCAUGCCUGGCUGUGCCUGGCCAUGUUUUUAAGUGUGUUGUGCAUAGUUCAUUGAGUUUUGAUGAACAGAUAUACAGAUGCAAUCACCACAGUCAGUAUAGAACAUUUCCAUUACCCCAAAACUUAGGCUUUACUCCUCCCCAGGCAAUUCCCCCUCCCAGCCCCAAGUAACCACUGACUUGCUUUUUUUAAAUAUUGUAUUUUUAUUAAACACAUUUUUUCCUCAUGGUAAAAGUAAUACAUACUAAUCAAGGAGUCCAGAAAAUAUAGAAAAGUAUAAUAAAGAAAAACAAAAGUCUUAGUCACAUUAUCCAGAGACAGUUCAUAUUCUUAUUUAUAUGUAUUUUCUUCACAUUGUGUGUGUGUGUGUAUGUGUGUGCAUUUAAUGAUACUGAGGCCAGGAUCUAUACACAGCUUCAUUGGUGAUUGCAUAUUUGUCUAUGAAGAUUGUAUCUAAAAUCAUUUUGCUCACAGAGCCUACAACUGACUCUAUAUUUGAUUAAUGGCCCCAGUUUACUCAAGCUAGGAAGGAACCUGAGUUGCUAUGAAGAAUAGAUCUUUUUUUUUCCUGAUACAUUUUCUAGUUGGUUGUUGCUGUUGUAAAAAGAAAACCACUGAGUUUCUGUAUAGUGUAUUUAACUUGUAUUCAUUGACCUUCUUGAAUUCUAUUUCCUAUAGUUUUCAAAAUAUUUUCUUCGAUAUUUUACAUGUAAAAUAAUCUCUUCUGUGAAUAAUAGUCCUUUUAUGCUGUCUGAUUUUUAUGCUUCCUUUUUUUUACUUCCUGAGUGUAAAUAAAUCCUGGAUGGGCACAGUGGCUCAUGCCUGUAAUGCUAGCACUUUGGGAGGCCAAGGUGGAAGGAUCGCUUGAGGCCAGGAGUUAAGAGAUUAGCCUGGGCAACAUAGCAAGAUCUCGUCUCUACAAAAAAAAUAUAAAAGUUAGGUGGGCGUGGUGGCAUGCACCUGUAGUCCUAACUACUAACUACUUAAGAGGCUGAGUCAGGAGGAUCCCUUAAGCCCAAGAGUUCAAGACUGCAGUAAGCUAUGAUCGUGUCUUUGCACUCCAGCCUGGGUGAGAGUGAGACCCUGUCUCUAAUAAAAACAAUUAAUCCUGACAUGCAAAACACUGCAGAACAGUCUAGCAGCUUGUGGGGAGCUAAGGAAAGAAUUCUGAGGCCCAUAGAGAAUGCUUUUAGGCUGAACAUUCUUAAAUAGCUCUAACCCCAUUAGACUUCCCCUAU